CAUAUUGGACAAUGGGGGCAACCCUGAUCCAGCCAUGCCGCCUGUGUGCAGAAGGUCUUCGGAUUUUAAAGCACUUUUAGUUCGGCGGAAGGGCUUUCGGCCACUACUCUUACGUUUUGACGUUACCAACAGAAUAAGCACCUGCUAACUCUGUGCCAGCAGCCGCGGUAAUACAGAGGGUGCAAGCGUUAAUCGGAAUUACUGGGCGUAAAGCGCGGGUAGGUGGGUCAGUAAGAUGGGUGUGAAAUCCCCGGGCUUAACCUGGGAACUGCUUUCAUAACUGCUGAGCUAGAGUACGGUAGAGGGUAGUGGAAUGUCCUGGGUAGCGGUGAAAUGCGUAGAUAUAGGAAGGAACACCAGUGGCGAAGGCGACUACCUGGACUGAUACUGACACUGAGGUGCGAAAGCGUGGGGAGCAAAC
RNAcentral lists this ribosomal RNA (421 nucleotides) under uncultured bacterium. RNAcentral's name for it is "partial 16S ribosomal RNA". It matches the Rfam family "Bacterial small subunit ribosomal RNA", at positions 359 to 773 of the family's 1533-position model. The record is from RNAcentral.